RNAcentral lists this transfer RNA (73 nucleotides) under Desulfurococcaceae archaeon. RNAcentral describes it as "tRNA-Phe". It matches the Rfam family "tRNA". From Rfam's summary of the family: Transfer RNA (tRNA) molecules are approximately 80 nucleotides in length. Their secondary structure includes four short double-helical elements and three loops (D, anti-codon, and T loops). The record is from RNAcentral. Lineage: Archaea; Thermoproteati; Thermoproteota; Thermoprotei; Desulfurococcales; Desulfurococcaceae. RNAcentral also lists the same sequence under 2 other names.
GCCGCCGUAGCUCAGCUGGGAGAGCGACCGGCUGAAGACCGGUAGGUCCGGGGUUCAAAUCCCCGCGGCGGCA